Molecule: ribosomal RNA, 465 nt
Filed under: Vreelandella stevensii
Lineage: Bacteria; Pseudomonadati; Pseudomonadota; Gammaproteobacteria; Oceanospirillales; Halomonadaceae
Description: partial 16S ribosomal RNA
Rfam family: Bacterial small subunit ribosomal RNA
Source: RNAcentral
CCUACGGGGGGCAGCAGUGGGGAAUAUUGGACAAUGGGGGGAACCCUGAUCCAGCCAUGCCGCGUGUGUGAAGAAGGCCCUCGGGUUGUAAAGCACUUUCAGUGAGGAAGAACGCCUGGUGGUUAAUACCCAUCAGGAAAGACAUCACUCACAGAAGAAGCACCGGCUAACUCCGUGCCAGCAGCCGCGGUAAUACGGAGGGUGCGAGCGCUAAUCGGAAUUACUGGGCGUAAAGCGCGCGUAGGUGGCUUGAUAAGCCGGUUGUGAAAGCCCCGGGCUCAACCUGGGAACGGCAUCCGGAACUGUCAAGCUAGAGUGCAGGAGAGGAAGGUAGAAUUCCCGGUGUAGCGGUGAAAUGCGUAGAGAUCGGGAGGAAUACCAGUGGCGAAGGCGGCCUUCUGGACUGACACUGACACUGAGGUGCGAAAGCGUGGGUAGCAAACAGGAUUAGAUACCCCAGUAGUC